GCCGACUGGAGCGCGCGGGCGGGCGGCGCGGACUGCGAGCUCUACCCCGGGUGCGGGCGCGGGGCGCUGCGCCCACCUUAACCCCCGCCGCGCCGGGCCCCGGGAUGAAAGCGCUCCAGGGCUGGGAUUCUGCGCGGCUGGUCCAGGAACCGCACCGGGCUCCACGCUCCCCGAUACCCAGAAGUUGCCAAACCCCGCCCGGAGGAGCGAACUGCGAUCCCACCCCAGGCAGCAGAACCAGCCUGGGCUCCGCGCCUGGGUGGCUGAGGUCCCGUGGACCUGCGCGGGAAGACAGCAUGCCCUUCUGCUCUCCUGACCUCUAAGACCCUUGCCCCCGCCCCACUCCCGGGACUGACAAAUCUGAAUUUCUUCUUAUGGAACAACAUGCAAAACAGCCCUCGUUAUUCAUGCAUCUUAUUGUAAUAAAGAGCAAAAGCUGGGAAAAACACAUGGAGAUGCUAAAAAGUGGUAGACUGAUCUUCAUAAAAUCUGUCUAUGGCUUUGUGAUCACAGGAAGAGCACCAUAACCGCGCUACCCAGGGAUGGGAUGUGUGUUCUUCCAGGCCGGUCUCUUGGAGCUUUCCUUGGACCCCUCGUUAUUCUUGUUCCUGCUCCGCCUGGCAGAAAGCAUCUCUCACUGCGUGGCUCUCAUCCUUGUAUCCUAAUUUAAUGGUUGCUAUGUGCAUCUGCUCGACUGUAUUCUUUCUCAGACCCUUUUGUUAAAUUAGACUGGGCUCUGCACAAUUGACAGAAUGAAAUGUAAUUCAAAAAUAAGCAUUAAGCUCUUAGCGUUUAUUACUUUUGUGCCGACGGAUACUAAGAGGUACUACCUGCUCUCGGUUCAGGACUGAGCACAAACACAUACUGACCCAGCCCCCACUGUAAAGUGGGGGUUAAGGUGGGCACAGCGCCCCGCACCAGCACCCCGG
This 929-nucleotide long non-coding RNA is filed under the name Chinchilla lanigera (long-tailed chinchilla). RNAcentral's name for it is "lncRNA (ENSCLAG00000024484.1)". Lineage: Eukaryota; Metazoa; Chordata; Mammalia; Rodentia; Chinchillidae. The record is from RNAcentral.